RNAcentral lists this long non-coding RNA (388 nucleotides) under Chrysolophus pictus (golden pheasant). RNAcentral describes it as "lncRNA (ENSCPIG00010004271.1)". Lineage: Eukaryota; Metazoa; Chordata; Aves; Galliformes; Phasianidae. The record is from RNAcentral.
UGCUGGAGUGCUCACAGCGUGACUGCUUCAAUUCGACCACCAAUCAUGUGGCGGACAUGUCGCCUGUGAACAACAUCAGGCGUGUGGUGGAGAACAUGAGAGCUCUUUUCCAACACGUGAAGAGUGACGGUCUGGUGGAGGACAUAGGGCAGCAGGGUGGCUGGGACAUGCUUAUGAGGCUUAACACCUACCACAGAGGCGUGGCUGUGCUGACCAGGGCACUGCGAAACGCAGCACCACUCUGCUGUCCCGCGGUGUUUGAACAAACAGUCACAGCUCUCGCGCACAGACAGGAGCACAAGGAGAUCGGGGCCAUGGCUGUGUUUGCUGAGGUGGGCUUAGAGGCGAGGUGCCUUUGAAACCUUAGUCUGUCUGGCAGAGUGGGGAG